RNAcentral lists this ribosomal RNA (465 nucleotides) under uncultured bacterium. Its description in RNAcentral is "bacterial SSU rRNA". It matches the Rfam family "Bacterial small subunit ribosomal RNA", at positions 28 to 475 of the family's 1533-position model. The record is from RNAcentral.
GACGAACGCUGGCGGCGUGCCUAAUACAUGCAAGUAGAACGCUGAAGAGAGGAGCUUGCUCUUCUUGGAUGAGUUGCGAACGGGUGAGUAACGCGUAGGUAACCUGCCUGGUAGCGGGGGAUAACUAUUGGAAACGAUAGCUAAUACCGCAUAAUAGCAGUUAUUGCAUGAUAACUGUUUGAAAGGUGCAAAUGCAUCACUACCAGAUGGACCUGCGUUGUAUUAGCUAGUUGGUGGGGUAACGGCUCACCAAGGCGACGAUACAUAGCCGACCUGAGAGGGUGAUCGGCCACACUGGGACUGAGACACGGCCCAGACUCCUACGGGAGGCAGCAGUAGGGAAUCUUCGGCAAUGGACGGAAGUCUGACCGAGCAACGCCGCGUGAGUGAAGAAGGUUUUCGGAUCGUAAAGCUCUGUUGUAAGAGAAGAACGAGUGUGAGAGUGGAAAGUUCACACNGNGACGG